This 603-nucleotide ribosomal RNA is filed under the name Benibotarus taygetanus. RNAcentral's name for it is "partial 16S ribosomal RNA". The stretch from base 379 to 537 matches the Rfam family "Bacterial large subunit ribosomal RNA", at positions 2473 to 2632 of the family's 2925-position model. The record is from RNAcentral. Lineage: Eukaryota; Metazoa; Arthropoda; Insecta; Coleoptera; Lycidae.
CAUGGUUUUUUGAUUAUAAUUUAAAAUUUGAUCUGCUCAAUGAUAAUUUAAAUUGCCGCAGUAUAUUAACUGUGCAAAGGUAGCAUAAUAAUUAGUUUCUUGAUUAGAAGCUGGAAUGAAUGAUUGGACGAUAAAAUAACUGUCUCUAAAUAAUUUUUUAAUGAAUUUUAUUUUUAAGUUAAAAAGCUUAAAUUUUUUUAAAAGACGAGAAGACCCUAUAGAGUUUAAUAUAAAUAUUAUUUAUAAUUUUAGUAAAAUUUUUUUAAUGUUUUUAUUUAGUUGGGGUGACUUGAAAAUUUAAAUAAUUUUUUAAUAUUAUAAUUUUUAAUUAGAAAAUUACUUAUCUAUUUUUUUAAAAAUAAAAUAAAUUACCUUAGGGAUAACAGCGUAAUUUUUCUUUAAAGUUCAUAUUAAAAGAAAAGUUUGCGACCUCGAUGUUGGAUUAAAAUUAAUCUUUGGUGCAGUAGCUAAGGAAUUAAGUCUGUUCGACUUUUAAAAUUUUACAUGAUCUGAGUUUAAACCGGUGUAAGCCAGGUUGGAUUCUAUCUUUAAUUUUAUUAUAUAUUUUAGUACGAAAGGACCAAAUAUAUAUUAUAUUAAUUG